GACGAACGCUGGCGGCGUGCUUAACACAUGCAAGUCGAACGGAAAGGCCUGCUUUCCCUUGUGGAUUGCGGGUACUCGAGUGGCGAACGGGUGAGUAACACGUGAGUGAUCUGCCCCCAACUUGGGUAUAAGCCUGGGAAACUGGGUCUAAUUCCCGAUAGGACUGCAGGGUGGUGCCUGUGGUGGAAAACGAUUUUCUAGUGGUUGGGGAUGAGCUCGCGGCCUAUCAGCUUGUUGGUGGGGUAAUGGCCUACCAAGGCGGCGACGGGUAGCCGGCCUGAGAGGGUGGACGGCCACAUUGGGACUGAGAUACGGCCCAGACUACUACGGGAGGCAGCAGUGGGGAAUAUUGCACAAUGGGCGGAAGCCUGAUGCAGCGACGCCGCGUGGGGGAUGACGGCCUUCGGGUUGUAAACUCCUUUCGACCGCGAGGAAGCCACCUGGUUGGAAGGGUGGUGACGGUAGUGGUAGAAGAAGCACCGGCUAACUACGU
Molecule: ribosomal RNA, 493 nt
Filed under: uncultured bacterium
Lineage: Bacteria
Description: partial 16S ribosomal RNA
Rfam family: Bacterial small subunit ribosomal RNA
Source: RNAcentral